RNAcentral lists this ribosomal RNA (274 nucleotides) under uncultured bacterium. Its description in RNAcentral is "partial 16S ribosomal RNA". It matches the Rfam family "Bacterial small subunit ribosomal RNA", at positions 523 to 796 of the family's 1533-position model. The record is from RNAcentral.
AUGCGGAGGGGGUUAGCGUUGUUCGGAAUUACUGGGCGUAAAGCGCACGUAGGCGGACUGGAAAGUUGGGGGUGAAAUCCCGGGGCUCAACCCCGGAACUGCCUCCAAAACUUCCAAUCUAGAGAUCGAGAGAGGUGAGUGGAAUUCCAAGUGUAGAGGUGAAAUUCGUAGAUAUUUGGAGGAACACCAGUGGCGAAGGCGGCUCACUGGCUCGAUACUGACGCUGAGGUGCGAAAGCGUGGGGAGCAAACAGGAUUAAAAACCCUAGUAGUCC